This 961-nucleotide long non-coding RNA is filed under the name Coturnix japonica (Japanese quail). Its description in RNAcentral is "lncRNA (ENSCJPG00005019969.1)". Lineage: Eukaryota; Metazoa; Chordata; Aves; Galliformes; Phasianidae. The record is from RNAcentral.
CGCAAAAGCAGGGAUAUAUCACCUGGAGUGCUGUAGGGCUGUCGCCAUAUAUAAUGCUCUGAGCUCAAUAUUUAUAGAGCUACAUACGGCACAAAUCAUAUCCAGAAGGCCCGUCGAGCUGGAGAGCUAGGUAUAAACUCCAGAAAUAUCGCAAGCCAUCGCUCACAAGAGACUGCCCGGCAGAGCCGCUGGCCGUACAUCACGCUGUAAUGCCAUCCGAGUCCGUGCUCGGUGCUGGAGCAGAGCAGAGGUCACUGCCAAGCUUUCCUUCCAUAAAUCCUAGGCGCUGGCUCUGAGCAAGGUUAGGGGCUGGGGAGCCCUGCUCCUGGUGCUGCUUCUUGCUGCUGUUGACACCGGGGUGUCCCAGCACUGAGGGUGGGUGCUUGUCUGAGGGGUCUUGUCCUUGGCCUCUGCUGUGGGAACUGGAGGAGAAGGUGGGAGAGAUGCAAUGGCUUGUUCAGACCAACUCUGACAGCUUUAGGGAACAGAUGGCUCAUCUGAAAUGGGGUUUUGCUGGGUUUUAGGGGGGAUCUGAGUCUCUUCUUCUCACCCUUCUGGAUCACAUUCUCCUUUAUGUUGUGUAAGGGUGUGAAUUUUCUUUAAGUCUCUAUUUUCUACAGGCCUCUAUGGUUGAGGACACACAGAAAACAGCCUGUCUGCAUGGCAAAGAUGUGGCAGUCUGUCCCAAGGAAGUCCAGGUCCACUGCCCACCUAGAAGUUCCUCCUUGGUGAUGGAGCUCAGCCACCCAUGGGGUACAGCUCCCCCAGGGCAGACCCUGCUGCACCCCUGGGUUCUUCAGCUUUCUUGGGCAAUCCAGAGUGAGCAAAUCCCAGAUGUGCCUCCUAUCUGCUUGAGUCCACCCUCGUGAUGCUGCAGGAGGAUUUCACUAAGCCAACACCCCAGUCUGUGUGCUCCAUGACAGCCGUGCUGGCACCAAACUACGCUUCCCAGGAGGCCACA